Molecule: transfer RNA, 75 nt
Filed under: Thioploca sp.
Lineage: Bacteria; Pseudomonadati; Pseudomonadota; Gammaproteobacteria; Thiotrichales; Thiotrichaceae
Description: tRNA-Val
Rfam family: tRNA
About the family: Transfer RNA (tRNA) molecules are approximately 80 nucleotides in length. Their secondary structure includes four short double-helical elements and three loops (D, anti-codon, and T loops). Further hydrogen bonds mediate the characteristic L-shaped molecular structure. tRNAs have two regions of fundamental functional importance: the anti-codon, which is responsible for specific mRNA codon recognition, and the 3' end, to which the tRNAs corresponding amino acid is attached (by aminoacyl-tRNA synthetases). tRNAs cope with the degeneracy of the genetic code in two manners: having more than one tRNA (with a specific anti-codon) for a particular amino acid; and 'wobble' base-pairing, i.e. permitting non-standard base-pairing at the 3rd anti-codon position.
Source: RNAcentral
UGGAGAUUAGCUCAAUGGUAGAGCGUCGGUUUUACACUCCGAAGACCUAGGGUUCGAUUCCCUUAUCUCCAACCA